GGGGAAUAUUCCGCAAUGGACGCAAGUCUGACGGAGCAACGCCGCGUGAGUGAUGAAGGUUUUCGGACUGUAAAGCUCUGUUGUUUAGGACGAAAGUGCCUGUUGCGAACAGUUACAGGUAUUGACGGUACUAAACGAGGAAGCCACGGCUAACUACGUGCCAGCAGCCGCGGUAAUACGUAGGUGGCAAGCGUUGUCCGGAAUUAUUGGGCGUAAAGAGCAUGUAGGCGGAGAUUUAAGUCUGUUGUGAAAAUGCGGGGCUCAACCCCGUAUUGCGAUGGAAACUGAAUUUCUUAAGUGCAGGAGAGGAAAGGGGAAUUCCCAGUGUAGCGGUGAAAUGCGUAGAUAUUGGGAGGAACACCAGUGGCGAAGGCGCCUUUCUGGACUGUGUCUGACGCUGAGAUGCGAAAGCCAGGGUAGCGAACGG
This 427-nucleotide ribosomal RNA is filed under the name uncultured bacterium. Its description in RNAcentral is "bacterial SSU rRNA". It matches the Rfam family "Bacterial small subunit ribosomal RNA", at positions 356 to 775 of the family's 1533-position model. The record is from RNAcentral.